UAACGAAUCUUCCGCAAUGGGCGCAAGCCUGACGGAGCAAUGCCGCGUGUGGGAUGAAGCGUCUCUGACGUGUAAACCACUGUCAGGGGUUAGAAACAAUGAUCAACCCCAAAGGAAGUGGCGACUAACUCUGUGCCAGCAGUCGCGGUAAUACAGAGGCCACAAGCGUUAGUCGGAAUCACUGGGCUUAAAGGGCGCGUAGGCUGGUCCGCAAGCGUCUUGUGAAAGCCCUCGGCUCAACCGAGGAACAGCAGGGCGAACUGCGGAUCUUGAGGCAGGUAGGGGUCGCGAGAACAGUAGGUGGAGCGGUGAAAUGCGUAGAUAUCUACUGGAAUGCCGAUGGUGAAGACGCGCGACUGGGCCUGUCCUGACGCUGAGGCACGAAAGCGUGGGGAGCAAACAGGAUUAGAUACCCUGGUAGUCCCUGAGCGGGCUGGCAAGGCGCAU
This 447-nucleotide ribosomal RNA is filed under the name uncultured bacterium. RNAcentral's name for it is "bacterial SSU rRNA". It matches the Rfam family "Bacterial small subunit ribosomal RNA", at positions 355 to 825 of the family's 1533-position model. The record is from RNAcentral.